GGACGAACGCUGGCGGCGUGCCUAAUACAUGCAAGUCGAGCGGAUUUAUCCUUCGGGAUAAGUUAGCGGCGGACGGGUGAGUAACACGUAGGUAACCUGCCUAUAAGAUCGGGAUAACUAUCGGAAACGAUAGCUAAGACCGGAUAAUUGGUUUUCUCGCAUGAGAGAAUUAUGAAACACGGAGCAAUCUGUGGCUUAUAGAUGGGCCUGCGGCGCAUUAGCUAGUUGGUGAGGAACGGCUCACCAAGGCGACGAUGCGUAGCCGACCUGAGAGGGUGAACGGCCACACUGGGACUGAGACACGGCCCAGACUCCUACGGGAGGCAGCAGUAGGGAAUCUUCCGCAAUGGACGCAAGUCUGACGGAGCAACGCCGCGUGAGUGAUGAAGGUUUUCGGAUCGUAAAGCUCUGUUGCCCUAGACGAACAGCAAGGAGAGUAACUGCUCUUUGUGUGACGGUAUA
Molecule: ribosomal RNA, 462 nt
Filed under: uncultured bacterium
Lineage: Bacteria
Description: bacterial SSU rRNA
Rfam family: Bacterial small subunit ribosomal RNA
Source: RNAcentral